GACGAACGCUGGCGGCGCGCCUAACACAUGCAAGUCGAACGGAGCUGAGAGAAGCUUGCUUUUCUUAGCUUAGUGGCGAACGGGUGAGUAACGCGUGAGUAACCGGCCCUGGAGUGGGGGACAACAGUUGGAAACGACUGCUAAUACCGCAUAAGCCCACGAUACGGCAUCGGAUUGAGGGAAAAGGAUUUAUUCGCUUCAGGAUGGACGCGCGUCCAAUUAGCUAGUUGGUGAGGUAACGGCCCACCAAGGCGACGAUUGGUAGCCGGACUGAGAGGUUGAACGGCCACAUUGGGACUGAGACACGGCCCAGACUCCUACGGGAGGCAGCAGUGGGGGAUAUUGCACAAUGGGGGAAACCCUGAUGCAGCGACGCCGCGUGGAGGAAGAAGGUUUUCGGAUUGUAAACUCCUGUCGUUAGGGACGAUAAUGACGUUACCUAACAAGAAAGCACCGGCUAACUACGUG
This 468-nucleotide ribosomal RNA is filed under the name uncultured bacterium. Its description in RNAcentral is "partial 16S ribosomal RNA". It matches the Rfam family "Bacterial small subunit ribosomal RNA", at positions 28 to 507 of the family's 1533-position model. The record is from RNAcentral.